AUUGAACGCUGGCGGCAGGCUUAACACAUGCAAGUCGAGCGGGGUGAUGGUGCUUGCACUAUCACUUAGCGGCGGACGGGUGAGUAAUGCUUAGGAAUCUGCCUAUUAGUGGGGGACAACAUCUCGAAUGGGAUGCUAAUACCGCAUACGUCCUACGGGAGAAAGCAGGGGAUCACUUGUGACCUUGCGCUAAUAGAUGAGCCUAAGUCGGAUUAGCUAGGUGGUGGGGUAAAGGCCUACCAAGGCGACGAUCUGUAGCGGGUCUGAGAGGAUGAUCCGCCACACUGGGACUGAGACACGGCCCAGACUCCUACGGGAGGCAGCAGUGGAGAAUAUUGGACAAUGGGGGGAACCCUGAUCCAGCCAUGCCGAGUGUGUGAAGAAGGCCUUAUGGUUGUAAAGCACUUUAAGCGAGGAGGAGGCUCUUUUGGUUAAUACCCAAGAUGAGUGGUCGUUACUCGCAGAAUAAGCACCGGCUAACUCUGUGCCAGCCGCCGCCGUAA
Molecule: ribosomal RNA, 503 nt
Filed under: uncultured bacterium
Lineage: Bacteria
Description: partial 16S ribosomal RNA
Rfam family: Bacterial small subunit ribosomal RNA
Source: RNAcentral